UGCACCCGCUGCAAGCAUGGAUACUCAUGUUAAUAGUGAUGUAACCACUGAUGGAUCUGCCGAGCAGCAUCUGAUGAUUCUUCAGCAUCACUUGAUGGGAAAAGCUUGGAGAGGGAGGAUUUGGAACUAGUUAAAAAUCUUCAAUACGGUCUGCUAUCCCUUCAGCACUUGUUGACAAAGAAUCCGAAUUUAGCUUCAGUGGUCUCCACAAAGGAGAAGCUAUUCUACUCUUUGAAUGCUUUUCUCUUCCUGUUUCUUCAUCAAGCAACAUUCCUCAGCUAUGUCUACUUGUUUUGUCACGGUUGACAACAUAUGCACCUUGUGUGGUUUUCAUUCUUGAAGUUCUCUUGCCAAUACAAGAAGAGAUUCCGUUGCAGCAAAGAGCCGCAGCAGCUUCGCUAUUAGGGAAGCUUGUUGGCCAGACUAUGCAUGGGCCUAGAGUGGCGAUAAGUCUGGCAAGAUUUCUGCCUGAUUUCCUUGUCUCGGUAAUCAGGGAUGGUCCUGGUGAAGCAGUUGUGAUUGCUCUUGAACAAACAACAAAACUCCUGAACUAGUCUGGACUCCAGCAAUGGCUGCAUCGUUGUCUGCACAAAUAGCAACUAUGGCUUCGGAUCUGUACCGUGAACAGG
This is a non-coding RNA of Sesamum indicum (sesame), 629 nucleotides long. Lineage: Eukaryota; Viridiplantae; Streptophyta; Magnoliopsida; Lamiales; Pedaliaceae. The record is from RefSeq and is a predicted model, not a curated record.